CGCAGCCGCGGUAAUUCCAGCUCCAAUAGCGUAUAUUAAAGUUGUUGCAGUUAAAAAGCUCGUAGUUGAAUUUCGGGACUAAUAUGUCGGUCGUACUUUGUACGUACUAGCAUUAUUGGUUUCUCCCUUCUGACGAACCACGAUGUCAUUAAUUUGGUGUCGUGGUAAAUCAGGACUGUUACUUUGAAAAAAUUAGAGUGUUUAAAGCAAGCUCGCGCUUGAAUACAUUAGCAUGGAAUAAUGAAAUAGGACGUUUGAUUCUAUUUUGUUGGUUUCUAGGAUCGACGUAAUGAUUAAUAGGGAUAGUUGGGGGCAUUAGUAUUCAAUUGUCAGAGGUGAAAUUCUUGGAUUUAUUGAAGACUAACUACUGCGAAAGCAUUUGCCAAGGAUGUUUUCAUUAAUCAAGAACGAAAGUUAGGGGAUCGAAGACGAUCAGAUACCGUCGUAGUCUUAACCAUAAACU
This 463-nucleotide ribosomal RNA is filed under the name uncultured Glomus. RNAcentral describes it as "SSU rRNA". It matches the Rfam family "Eukaryotic small subunit ribosomal RNA", at positions 569 to 1038 of the family's 1831-position model. Lineage: Eukaryota; Fungi; Glomeromycota; Glomeromycetes; Glomerales; Glomeraceae. The record is from RNAcentral.